GAAGCUGAAUCUGGGUUAUCUCAAGACUUAGAGAUGUCUGGCCUAUGUCAAGAGAUAAAUGAUGGAUAAGCUAGAGAAUAGAUCUAUUAUAGCUCACUUUAUAGAGUAUCCAAAAGAAUCUAUGGGAUACUACUUCUACUUAUCAUAAGAUCAUAAUGUGAUUGUGAGUCGAAAUACCGUAUUCUUAGAAAAUUAGUUUAUCCAAGAUGGCAGC
RNAcentral lists this long non-coding RNA (214 nucleotides) under Elaeis guineensis (African oil palm). RNAcentral describes it as "long non-coding RNA (EGUI_LNC069433)". The record is from RNAcentral. Lineage: Eukaryota; Viridiplantae; Streptophyta; Magnoliopsida; Arecales; Arecaceae.